This is a long non-coding RNA of Podarcis raffonei (Aeolian wall lizard), 1778 nucleotides long. RefSeq lists it as uncharacterized. NCBI's taxonomy places the organism in Eukaryota, Metazoa, Chordata, Lepidosauria, Squamata, Lacertidae. The record is from RefSeq and is a predicted model, not a curated record. The transcript has 3 exons.
UCGUUCCAAAGAACCAAAUUCUACAAGGAUGAAGGCCAGCUAUGUUUCUGAAGCACCCAAACUGGAGAUGACAUGUUUGGCUCUGACUCCAAGUUUCCAUUAUGUCUCAGGCAUUAGGGGAGCUACAGUGAUAUACUGAUUCCAUAAUUCUGUACUCUUGACAAGCCACCAGUCCAACCAAUAAGACAAGGCAGAAUUAUUCCCUAGCAAAAUUAGUUGUAACAGAUAUGGCAAACCUGUGGCCUGCCAGAUGUUGGUGGACUCAACACACAUCACCCCAGCCAGGAUGCCAAUAGUCAAGAUGUAAAGAAAGUACUCUUUCUGUGAACGCCGAUUGCAGUGAAUAACGGCUUGGAGAUGCAGGAGAAAGACCUGGUGUUCUUUAAAGGCAGAACAAUUCUUUCAAGCAAAACGAUAACUGCAGAGCGGACAAAUGGCUCUUUACCAUCAGCCCAGCCUGGAGCUAUGUGCUACAAAAUUUGGCUAAAAGGGGGGAAAUGUUUAAAUGGGUGGAACUAUUUGGAGAACUUCUUAUAAAGUUUGGCUGCAAUUACAUAACUCUGAGCUCUGAUGAAAACAGGGGUGUCCUAAGGAAAAGUGGGACAUUCUGGGAUGAAAUCAGAAACUGGGAUGGCUUUUGUCCCUGGAAGAUAGACUCUUUUGGAGGGGCUGCAACCCAUUCAUACAAGGAUAUCUGCUUGGGAAAUGGAACUCUUUUUCCUACCCCACGUGUUCUCCCAACCCUCUGAAGCAGAUUGGGGCAGGGGCUCCCCAGGGGAGUACAAGGAGGGUAAGUUCUGUUGGCCAAAGAGAAGUCAUGGGAUGAGUUUGUUGGAUACAACUGUCUGGUGGUGACUUUGUACAGAGAAAAACAACAAUCUACACCUUUAUUUAAUAUGGUUGUGCCCCAGAUUUGGUCAAGGUCCAAGACCUGAGCUGAUUUGGGCUAAUUCAGGGCCAUGGUCAAGUCAGGUUGAGUUACUCCUGGACUGUUGUGGGUCACCUUGGGCAGCCCAGUGUGAUCUGGGUCAGUGCUGGAUUACCAAGUAGUCAGAGUUGGCACCUGCCUAUGCCCCCCAUGGCUUUUAGGGACCCCACAACAACAGAUAAAAAUAAUAUUGAUUUGAUCUUGAAAUAAAAUUACAAAAAAAAAAAAACAUAUUAGGGUUUGCAAGGAGGAACCCGAGAUUUUGACUGCCUAGGGUUUACUCUGGCACUUAACUGGAGCUCUCAGAGGCUGUAGCAUCAGGCAGGCAAGAAGGGGGGGACUGUAAAAAAAGAUAUGCCUAUCAUUAACCAAGGUUCAAAAUACGCAUUAUGUUACUGUCAUUUUUAAAUCUUGUGCUUCAGACUCUUUCAGUCUUUUAAAACUAAUUUUAAAACCAUGGUAUAAGAAGAGGAUUUUUGUAUUGUUUCUGCAUUGCUGAAAAUUGCCCACCCAUCUGCUAUUUGUCUUGGAGCUAGUAAAGUAUAACAAUAUCCCAGUACUUGUUAGGACAGAGGAAGAAGCAGGUUGAUGCUGAGAGACAUUGUAGUAGUUAGUCCCUUCCUCAGCUAGAAAGCUGGUUGGUUGGAUGACCUCUCUUGUCUUUUUACAGUAGAUGACAUUCCAGCUGUGCGAAAACACACACGUUUUUCCAUCCUCCAUCCAGGGAAGCAAGAAGCAUUAUCACAGUUCAAGGACACAUUCCAGCCAGGCAAAAGCACUUGAAGAGGAGCAGGGUUCAAGAAGGAGGAGGAGAGACAGGGAAGCAUGGAGGGCUGCAUUCAGCCCCCGG